This 253-nucleotide ribosomal RNA is filed under the name uncultured bacterium. Its description in RNAcentral is "partial 16S ribosomal RNA". It matches the Rfam family "Bacterial small subunit ribosomal RNA", at positions 524 to 776 of the family's 1533-position model. The record is from RNAcentral.
UACGGAGGGUGCAAACGUUGCUCGGAAUCAUUGGGCGUAAAGCGCACGUAGGCGGUCCAGCAAGUCGGGUGUGAAAGCCCUCGGCUCAACCGAGGAAGUGCAUUCGAAACUACGGGACUUGAAUACUGAAGAGGAUCGCGGAAUUCCCGGUGUAGAGGUGAAAUUCGUAGAUAUCGGGAGGAACACCAGUGGCGAAGGCGGCGAUCUGGGAAGAUACUGACGCUGAGGUGCGAAAGCGUGGGGAGCAAACAGG